Molecule: ribosomal RNA, 253 nt
Filed under: uncultured bacterium
Lineage: Bacteria
Description: partial 16S ribosomal RNA
Rfam family: Bacterial small subunit ribosomal RNA
Source: RNAcentral
UACGGGGGGAGCAAGCGUUGUUCGGAUUUACUGGGCGUAAAGGGCGCGUAGGCGGCGUGGCAAGUCACUUGUGAAAUCUCCGGGCUUAACCCGGAACGGUCAAGUGAUACUGUCGUGCUAGAGUACAGAAGGGGCAACUGGAAUUCUCGGUGUAGCGGUGAAAUGCGUAGAUAUCGAGAGGAACACCUGCGGCGAAGGCGGGUUGCUGGGCUGAUACUGACGCUGAGGCGCGAAAGCCAGGGGAGCGAACGGG